UUCAUUGGUUGAUAUUGGGUUGUUCAGAAUUUUUAGGUCUUCUUCGUUCAACUUUGGUAAUUCAUACUUAUCUAGGAAUCUGCCCAUUUCUUUUGUGUUGUCCAUCUUAUUGGCGUAUAGGUUCUGGAAAUAGGUAUUGAUGAUCCUCUGGAUUUCUGCUGGGUCUGUUGUCAUUUCACCCUUUUCAUUCCUAAUUGCAUGGAUUUGGGCCUUUUCUUUCCUUUCUCUGACAAGGUUGGCUAAGGGUUUGUCAAUUUUGUUGAUUCUUUCAAAGAACCAACUCUUGGCUUCAUUGAUGUUUUGUAUUGUUCUCUUAGUGUCCAUUGCAUUGAUUUCUCCUCUGAUCUUUAUAAUUUCCUCCCUUGUAUGAGCUUUGGGGUUGUCCUGCUCUUCUUUUUCUAGAAGCUUGAGGUUCAGCAUCAGUUUGUUUAAUUGGGCUUGUUCUGUUUUCCUAAUGUGCGUAUUCACUGCUAUGAAUUUCCCUCAUAAGACUGCUUUCAUUGUGUCCCAUAGAUUUCGAUAUGUUGUAUUGUCAUUGUCAUUUAAUUGAAGGAGCUGUCUGAUUUCUUCUUUAAUUUCCUCUGUGACCCAUUGGUUAUUCAGAAGUGUGUUGUUCAAUUUCCACAUGUUUAUGAAGUUUUUUGAGUUUCUUUUGCUAUGUAUCCCCCAUUUCAUCUCACUAUGGUCUGAUAAUAUCCAGGGGAUAACUUCAAUUCCUUUGCACUUACUUAAACAUGUUCUAUGUGUGAGUAUGUGGUCUAUUUUGGAGAAUGACCCAUGUGCAGCUGAGAAGAAUGUGUAUUCUGAUUUUGUGGGGUGGAAGUCUCUGUAAACAUGUUAAGUUCAUUUGUUCAAGAGUUCAAUUGAGUUCUAGUAUUUCAUUACUCAUUUUUAGUCUAGUUGAUCUAUCUAUUUGUGACAGUGGGGUGUUGAGGUCCCCCACUAUAAUUGUAUUAGUGCAUAUAUGAUUUUUCAUGUCCGUUAGUAUUUGCCCAAACAAAAUCUUUUAGAGAAGGUUUCAGGAGAUUCCCUGGCCAGGCUGGCUUUAGCCCCAGAAGGUUCAUCUCCAAGAUUCCAAGGUCCGGACACCCCACAGUGCCAACCCUCUGCACCAGGAAUCUUGUCAUUUCUAUUUACCACAGAGGCUCAGCCAAAAGGACAAGAUAAAUAAAAAAGCUCUUAGAGAUGGUCUUCUUCUGGCUGAAGGUGAUUGAUUCCAGGUCCUGUGGGGGGUGCUCAAAGACUUCACAUAACCUGGCUUGGUGCCCUGUAAGCUGUGCACACUUUCUAUA
RNAcentral lists this long non-coding RNA (1292 nucleotides) under Heterocephalus glaber (naked mole-rat). RNAcentral describes it as "lncRNA (ENSHGLG00100035363.1)". The record is from RNAcentral. Lineage: Eukaryota; Metazoa; Chordata; Mammalia; Rodentia; Bathyergidae.